GGACAAUGAUAUAUUUACUGGAGCCAAAAAAAAAAAGACUUGCUCCUUUGUUGCUGCUGUUAAGUACAAAAUUCAAGGAUUCAAGGUUCAUCAGCCCCAUCCACAUAAGAGUAAAGAUAUGUAGCGUUUCAUAGUAUCAAAAACAAAAUAUUUUUAGUCAUAUCUCUCGACGUAAAAGACUAAUUAGAACCAAACUACAAAUAAAAGGAAGAUUUCUAACAUGGGAUCAAUUUCCUGAAAUUUUUUGUUAAUAAAGAUAGCCAUAUUCGACAAAUGCAUUCCCUCAACAGCUAAAAUUUCCAGAGAACAAAAAAUUUCAGGACAAUGAUGGGAGGAAACAGAUACAUUAAUCUGCACAGGCCAAAAGGUUGUCCUCGAUCGAGAGCUCUCACCUCUGCAGCCUGAUAAGAUUAGAAGACUGAGCUAAUAUUUACCAAUGUGACAUAUUUCUGCUACUUUGCACAAUUACAGAGUGCCAUACGAGACUCAUGUUGAUUCAGGCUUCUGCGUGCAUAUACAUGUAUUGUGUGUAUUGACGUUGGUGUUACAAAUAAGUUAGAGAUACAGUAGUCUAUCACCGUACAGAAACUACACCAUAUCAUAAGCAUCAACUUCUCCUUGUCCAUUCUCAUCCCACCCGGCCCUAAAUUUGCAGACAGGGCAAGUUCCCCGCUGCCUUAGCCAUGGGUCAAUGCAGUUUGCAUGGAACUGCAACACAAAAGAUAUAAAUUAAAAUACACACCUGCUCUGCGACAAUAUACACAUAUACAUAUACUAAAUACUAUUAACUCCACAGUGGCGGACCCAGGAUUUUGUGCAAGCGGGUUCAAUCUUAGAAGUACAUAACUUUAGUCGUAAAAUAGUAGUUGUCAAGUGGGUUCAAAUAAAAUAUUUAUACAAAAUUUACGCAGCUUUAAUCCUAAUUUAUACAUAUACACAGUAUUAUUUUUUGAUGAAGCGGGUUCCCGCUUGCCACCACGUGCGUCCACCACCGACUCCACUGCUACUAGCUUAAACUAGGGAAAUUUUUAUCCUCA
RNAcentral lists this long non-coding RNA (1037 nucleotides) under Nicotiana tabacum (common tobacco). RNAcentral's name for it is "long non-coding RNA (NTAB_LNC016561)". Lineage: Eukaryota; Viridiplantae; Streptophyta; Magnoliopsida; Solanales; Solanaceae. The record is from RNAcentral.